AACGAACGCUGGCGGCGUGCCUAACACAUGCAAGUCGUGCGAGAAAGUUCCUUCGGGAGCGAGUAAAGCGGCGCACGGGUGAGUAACACGUAGGUAACCUGCCCCCCAGUCUGGAACAACUAGAGGAAACUCUAGCUAAUGCCGGAUGAGACCACGAUCCCUUCGGGGGUUGCGGCCAAAGAUGGCCUCUACUUGUAAGCUAUCGCUGAGGGAUGGGCCUGCGGCCAUUAGCUUGUUGGUGAGGUAACGGCUCACCAAGGCUGUGAUGGCUAGCUGGUCUGAGAGGAUGACCAGCCACACUGGGACUGAGACACGGCCCAGACUCCUACGGGAGCAGCAGUGGGGAAUAUUGCGCAAUGGGCGAAAGCCUGACGCAGCGACGCCGCGUGGGUGAUG
Molecule: ribosomal RNA, 396 nt
Filed under: uncultured bacterium
Lineage: Bacteria
Description: bacterial SSU rRNA
Rfam family: Bacterial small subunit ribosomal RNA
Source: RNAcentral